RNAcentral lists this ribosomal RNA (415 nucleotides) under Agrocybe pediades. Its description in RNAcentral is "partial small subunit ribosomal RNA". The record is from RNAcentral. Lineage: Eukaryota; Fungi; Basidiomycota; Agaricomycetes; Agaricales; Agrocybaceae.
CCGUGAUGAACUAACCGUCUGUCGCUGGGGAGGAGUUCCGAUUGGGAAAUUGCAGAAAAAAUUUACCUCUUUCGCUAUAGGCGAGGGGAAGAUUAACAAAAUAUGCACGCCUUUGCCUAGAAUUAUUUAAACCAAUUUUUGACAAAGGUAAAAGCUAAUAACUAUCGAAAAAGUAAACGCCGCUCAUUCUUACCUUUGGUAGUAUGACCAGUUGACCGGCUUUAAAUUACUAAAUUUAGUUUUUUUAGUCUAAAUAGUUAUUUUUAUUUGUAGUGUUAGUUAUUCUUAAUUUGUUUAAUUGAACUUUGCUUUUUUAAACUUUUUUUAGAGUUUUAACAAUUUGUUAUGGAUUGUAGUUCGAUGAACCCUUCUGAGUAACAUCUCAAAAGUCAUAGCAAGGUAGCUUGUACUGGAA